GAUGAACGCUAGCGGCAGGCUUAAUACAUGCAAGUCGAGGGGCAGCAGGACUGUAGCAAUACAGUUGCUGGCGACCGGCAAACGGGUGCGGAACACGUACGCAACCUACCCAAAACUGGGGGAUAGCCCGGGGAAACCCGGAUUAAUACCUCGUAACCUUUUUAAGUGGCAUCACUUGAUAAGUAUAGCUCCGGCGGUUUUGGAUGGGCGUGCGCCUGAUUAGGUAGUUGGUGCGGGUAACGGCCCACCAAGCCUGCGAUCAGUAACUGGUGUGAGAGCACGACCAGUCACACGGGCACUGAGACACGGGCCCGACUCCUACGGGAGGCAGCAGUAAGGAAUAUUGAUCAAUGGACGCAAGUCUGAACCAGCCAUGCCGCGUGAAGGAUGAAGGUCCUCUGGAUUGUAAACUUCUUUUAUGGGGGACGAAACCCGGAUAUUCUUAUCCGAUUGACGGUACCUCAGGAAUAAGCACCGGCUAACUCCGUG
This 489-nucleotide ribosomal RNA is filed under the name uncultured bacterium. RNAcentral's name for it is "partial 16S ribosomal RNA". It matches the Rfam family "Bacterial small subunit ribosomal RNA", at positions 28 to 507 of the family's 1533-position model. The record is from RNAcentral.